RNAcentral lists this long non-coding RNA (383 nucleotides) under Carica papaya (papaya). Its description in RNAcentral is "long non-coding RNA (CPAP_LNC012785)". The record is from RNAcentral. Lineage: Eukaryota; Viridiplantae; Streptophyta; Magnoliopsida; Brassicales; Caricaceae.
UGGUGUGGAUGGGGGGUUAUUUAUAUCCAUCAGCUUUUGAUCUGGGCUGUCCAUCGCGUUUGAUCUGAACCGUCUGAUCGCAAUUAAAUAGGGAGUGAAUCUGGAUCGUUCAUCGUGAUCCAAUCUGUACCGUUCAUCGUGAUCUAAUCUACACCGUCUGCUCGUGUUCAAAUCUAACCGUCAGAUCGCGUUUGGGGAGGGAACGCAUCUGGGCCGUUUGUGCGGGCGGGAACAGAUAUGAGUUGUUCGAUCGCAUGCACGCAGAUCACCUGCGUGGCCUCUCGCGUGGCAGCGCGUCAGUGUUCGUUGCCACGCGAUGCGUCCUGAUUCGUUGGGACUAUUGACUAGGCAUCCUACGUGGUAAAACUUUUCUAAAUUAUAUU